UUUCCUUAUUGUAGGGCAGAAUAAAAGGCACCAGAGAGCUGAGGGAAGAUGCGAUUCAGUUCUUCCCUUUUUAUUAAAAAAACUGCUGCCAGAAAGAGGAAAGAGUAGUUGGUUAAAUCUGUCAGUUUUGAGUUCUCGUGAUUAUUUUCAUUGAAAGUUAGUGAUGAUGGGACUUCAAAAUUGAUUGUUUGUCCCGCUCAUAGCAGCAACCCAUUUUGGUGUUUCCUCUCAGUUUCCCAGGGUUUACCACCAGGGAAAAUUGCUUGUCUUCCCAUUUAAGCAACUCAAUCCCAGCUGGUGUCCCUGGGAGCCCAAGGGAAGGCGCUGAAGAGAGAAAUCUUCCUGCCAGCUUCCUCCAGGAAUGUUUCCCCUGGCGUGAUGUGGGCGCUGGGAAGCGUCUGUUUGGCUCCCUGCUCCCAGGGGACAGGCAUUACUUCCGUUGAGUGUCAGAUAAUUGUCAAGUCCUCACCAAGGAUGAUACUGCUGCUGCUGUGAAACCGUCAAAGGUCUGCUGCUUGUUUGGGGUCUGUUGUGAUUCUGGAGCUAUUGAAACACGACAGCAGGUGACCCUCGUUCACCCACGUCUGCUCACAGUGUCUGCAGAGCAGGAGUUUGGACUGACUGCAUGGGCGUUCACCAGCUCGGGCCUCCUGCUGGCCUGGCACCGAGGGGCGGUCAGCGGCCAGCAUGAGAGCUUGUCCGGUCCCGACUUUCCACUCACCUCUUUGCUAAGAUGUUGGCUCAAGUUAAUUUGGCCAGGAUGUAUUUUAAUUUAUU
This 777-nucleotide long non-coding RNA is filed under the name Equus asinus (donkey). Its description in RNAcentral is "lncRNA (ENSEASG00005025662.1)". The record is from RNAcentral. Lineage: Eukaryota; Metazoa; Chordata; Mammalia; Perissodactyla; Equidae.